Chinchilla lanigera (long-tailed chinchilla) is the source of this 2840-nucleotide long non-coding RNA. Lineage: Eukaryota; Metazoa; Chordata; Mammalia; Rodentia; Chinchillidae. The record is from Ensembl.
GAGCAAUUUGUCAUAGAAUCUGGGGGGCUCAUUUUUCCGGCCAAUCACUUUUAGAGAAAUGAGCGCAUUGCAGCAGAAUGCGCUGACGUCAGAGACCACCCCCUCUGCGCAUCCAUAUAAACCCCACCCAGCCAGCCCCUGGCGCAGACGGCGGCGAGCUGGAUGGAGCGCGCGCGGGCUCACCAGCCUGGCGCAGCUCCUCCGAAGAGUCGGGGCGCCCACGCGAGCCUUCCCGCCUGGGGUGCCUCUUCCGCGAUGACGUCAUGGACUCACCCACGUCCUCCGGGACCACCUCCCCUGGAUGCCAAGCCGCUGCGAGGUGCUGCCGCCUGCCUCCUCAUCACGGUCUUCAUUUGCAUAUGGCCCCAAGAGCCAGGCUUCCAGGACCCCACCGACCUAGCAAGCAGCCACCAGCAGACCCCCGCGUGCAGCCCCUGGAAGGACGGGAUGAAGACCCCGGGGCCUGGCCAGCAGCUGUCCCUCGGGGCUAAAGACUUCAACCAGUGCCCUACUCAGCUUCUCCAGGGGCCCUGUCUCCACUGCUUUCCUUCCUCACCUCCAUCUCCUCUGCAACCCAUGCCUCCCGACCCGCUCUGCUCCGCCCACCGGUCUCGCCCAGGUAAAGUCUCUGUAGCUUACUCUCAGCACGCUUCCAGCCACCACGCACACACGCCACACACCACACACGUGCCUCCUCACGAGGCUUGCGGCUCCGACUCACUUCCGCGGACACACACGUCACAGAGACACCUGCUCUCAGCACCCUGUGCUCGGUUGGCCCGGGAACUCGCACACCCAGGCCUCCCAGCUCUGGAGGCUUCCUCUUGGAGCACUGCCUUGAGCUCUCGGAGUUGGCUGGCCUGGGUUCGAGUCCAGGACCAAGGGGUAGAUCAGUGGUCUCAGGCUCCCUGUCUGUCACAGUAGCAAGCUGCAAGCCAGGGGCGCCGGGCUUCGCCACAGGUAAGCACCACACAUGCUGGGGAAGGAGCCUGAGAAAGGAGGUAGAGUGUUCGUGCCGGAAUGCGGGUGGGGUCCACGCUUUCUCACCAGUUCCCACAGGAGAAGCAAAGACAGGAGGAAGAGCCGGAGAGGGUCCAGGACAGAGAAAAGAUAAGAACCCUUUAGAAAAGGCAUUAAAGGCCCAAAGGGACAAAAAACAAAACACAGGAAGAGGAGACUUAGGAAAUAUUAAAACCCACCCAAAACUCAUCCGGAGGAAGGUUUCCUCUUCAGUAUGUGUUGGGGGGUAGGAGAAAGAAAACAGGGGGAAGCUGUUACAUUGAUUACCCAUUGACAAACCCCAGCAGGUUUUCAAAUCAAAUCUCCCCACGUUGGGUUUUUAACUCCUCCACCCAGCUUAACCCCUCCACCUCCCAGCCCCGUCCCGCCGCCCCGUCGGUGAUUAAGUCCCAAAGGUCUGGGCAGUGUGGCACUGAAUGGAUGGCCAACAGAAAGGCCGCUCCCCGCCCCCAGCCGGGGUUCCAGCUGUAGUCCUCUUCCCCCUUGUCCCUUAAUGAACGCAGGGCUAAUCUGGGGCCUUGUGGAAGGAAGAGGCCGCAGACACUAAUGAGGUAGCCGCUGGAUUCCAAUAUUCAUCUCAUAAGGAGCCUUCUUUGUCUGCGAAGGGAAAACACACUGAUUAUCAUAAUGAGGGGAACCAGUGUCUGCAGGGCAGGGGCGACGUGGGUGCUUAAGCCACUCGUCUAAUCUCGGGGCUGCAGCUGACGUCCCCUUGCCCCCUCAUUUAAGUCUGCUCCUCUGUCCCAGCUCAAGGCCCAUGGGGAGGGGUUGAAAGGUGGAAAGCAGGGCUGAGGGUAGGUUGCAGGGGAGGUGUGGCUUUGCUCUACCUCGUGUUGCCCACGCAGCUGGCCAGGGCGUGCAUCUGUGCUGUCCAAGGGCCGGGCUGCGGCCGGGCUCAGGCUGUGGGGCUCGGUCUCCCAAGCCAGCACGCACCUGACCAGCUUCAGGGCCCACCGGGAGUGCUCAGCAAUUACUCAGACUAGCACAUGGCAGCAGAGCGCCAAGCUGGGGGCACCAAUGGGGUCGCCUCCAGCCGGCACCCAUGCAGGCCCCACCCAGGUCCAGAGAGGGAUGUCAGCACCCCAGCACCACGCUAUCCCUGAGGAUAGCUUGGGAUUCACAUUGGGCAGCCACAUGCUCAUGAGAUUGGGACUUAGGGGGCAGUGGGUUGGCCCGAUGGGCCAACCAAGUGCUAGGGAGACAGAAAACCUGAUAGGAUCUAGGCCUGGUGGUGCAAACCUGUCAUCGGAGGCUGAGACAGGAGUUCAAGGCCAGCCUGGGCCAUGUGGUAACUUCAAGACCAGCCCAAACUAUAUAGCAAGACAUUGUCUUAAAGGAAACAAACAAAAAUACCAAAAAAUAAAUUAAAACCCCCACCAAACCUGAGGGGUGCUGGGACAUAGGUCAGGGUAGAGUGCUUGCCCUGCUUGGGCGUGACCCUGAGCUCAUUCCCAGCGCAACUCAGGUCUCCGCACCUCAUGCCCCCCACCCCGAGGUCCUGCAGCCCCGCCUGCACCCCUCCCCCUUGAGCUCCCUUCACAGAGCCCACUAACAUCUACGCAGCAGGUGUGUCCUGAGCAGGAGACUUGCACUUACCUGUCCCGGAUUCUGGAUAUUUCUCACCCUAAGGUAGAUCAAUCAAGAUUAGAUCACUCCAGUUAAACCUGAGGUUCUCACCAGACCUUCAGCCAAACGGAAAACAACUAGAGGAGGGAGGCGGCCGGAGCAGGAAAAUGUCCCAACCUUUUAUUCCUUUUUUUUUUUUUUUUUUUUUUUUUUUUUUUUUUUUUUUUUUUUUUUUUUUUUUUUUUCCUUUUUUU